RNA transcript from Nothobranchius furzeri (turquoise killifish), 625 nucleotides. It is a transcript of the gene named T-cell acute lymphocytic leukemia protein 1, with no coding region annotated. NCBI's taxonomy places the organism in Eukaryota, Metazoa, Chordata, Actinopteri, Cyprinodontiformes, Nothobranchiidae. The record is from RefSeq and is a predicted model, not a curated record.
UGUUGUCUCACAAAACACGGGUCGGUCGGGACAGAAAGGUUUCUCUUGGUAUUGAAAACCUUUGAACACACGAGACACGUGGAAACAACGGCUGCAGUAUAACGUGUCAGCUGAUCAGACAGGAACUAGAAAACAGCUCCUCAGCAGCGUCCUCUUCACUUCACAACCUUGCUCCUGCUGGAUCAGGUGAGAGGAUCCAAAACUAGCAUGAAGAUGCUGCUUUUUACCGUAUGAACCCUCACGGCCUCUGCGCUCCUCUGGCAGGCGUCUCCUGGUCAUCCCUAAAGUCAGGACACACACUCACGGCGAGGCGUCCUUCCAGUAUCACCGCCCUCGCCUCUGGAACGAGCUGCCAGAGGACCUCAGGGCCGCAGAGAACGUUGAUGUUUUUAAGUCCAGGCUCAAGACCCGUCUUUUUAGUGAGUCGUGGAGGAUGGCUGCUUAUACUGAGCCAGGAUUCUCUGGAGGUUUCUUCCUGUUAAAAAGGAGUUUUCCUCUCCACUGUCGCUGCAUGCUUGCUUAGAAUGAGGAUUGCUGUAUAGUCACUGACACUAGUCAUGUGAAGUGCCUUGAGACGACUCUUGUCGUGAUUUGGCGCUUUAUAAAUAAACUUGAAUUGAAUUGA